GCAGUGGUUCAGUGGUAGAAUUCUUGCCUUCCGUGUAGGAGACCUGGGCUCCAUUCCUGGCCAAUGCA
Molecule: transfer RNA, 68 nt
Filed under: Loxodonta africana (African savanna elephant)
Lineage: Eukaryota; Metazoa; Chordata; Mammalia; Proboscidea; Elephantidae
Rfam family: tRNA
About the family: Transfer RNA (tRNA) molecules are approximately 80 nucleotides in length. Their secondary structure includes four short double-helical elements and three loops (D, anti-codon, and T loops).
Source: Rfam by way of RNAcentral